This 527-nucleotide ribosomal RNA is filed under the name Bifidobacterium animalis. Its description in RNAcentral is "bacterial SSU rRNA". It matches the Rfam family "Bacterial small subunit ribosomal RNA", at positions 166 to 695 of the family's 1533-position model. The record is from RNAcentral. Lineage: Bacteria; Bacillati; Actinomycetota; Actinomycetes; Bifidobacteriales; Bifidobacteriaceae.
AUACCGGAUGCUCCGCUCCAUCGCAUGGUGGGGUGGGAAAUGCUUUUGCGGCAUGGGAUGGGGUCGCGUCCUAUCAGCUUGUUGGCGGGGUGAUGGCCCACCAAGGCGUUGACGGGUAGCCGGCCUGAGAGGGUGACCGGCCACAUUGGGACUGAGAUACGGCCCAGACUCCUACGGGAGGCAGCAGUGGGGAAUAUUGCACAAUGGGCGCAAGCCUGAUGCAGCGACGCCGCGUGCGGGAUGGAGGCCUUCGGGUUGUAAACCGCUUUUGUUCAAGGGCAAGGCACGGUUUCGGCCGUGUUGAGUGGAUUGUUCGAAUAAGCACCGGCUAACUACGUGCCAGCAGCCGCGGUAAUACGUAGGGUGCGAGCGUUAUCCGGAUUUAUUGGGCGUAAAGGGCUCGUAGGCGGUUCGUCGCGUCCGGUGUGAAAGUCCAUCGCCUAACGGUGGAUCUGCGCCGGGUACGGGCGGGCUGGAGUGCGGUAGGGGAGACUGGAAUUCCCGGUGUAACGGUGGAAUGUGUAGAU